Molecule: ribosomal RNA, 253 nt
Filed under: uncultured bacterium
Lineage: Bacteria
Description: partial 16S ribosomal RNA
Rfam family: Bacterial small subunit ribosomal RNA
Source: RNAcentral
UACGUAGGGUGCUAGCGUUGUCCGGAUUUAUUGGGCGUAAAGAGCUCGUAGGCGGCUUGUUGCGUCUGCUGUGAAAUCCCGGGGCUUAACCCCGGGCGUGCAGUGGAUACGGGCAGGCUGGAGGCAGGCAGGGGAGAAUGGAAUUCCCGGUGUAGCGGUGAAAUGCGCAGAUAUCGGGAGGAACACCAACGGCGAAAGCACUCUGCUGGGCCGACACUGACACUGAGAGACGAAAGCUAGGGGAGCGAAUGGG